This is a non-coding RNA of Parelaphostrongylus tenuis, 73 nucleotides long. The record is from the annotation of a GenBank genome assembly. NCBI's taxonomy places the organism in Eukaryota, Metazoa, Nematoda, Chromadorea, Rhabditida, Metastrongylidae.
GCGUCGGUAGUGCAACGGUUCAGCACGCGCACCCAGAUAGGGUAAAAUGUGGGUUCGAAUCCCAUCUGACGUA